RNAcentral lists this ribosomal RNA (318 nucleotides) under Mantidactylus femoralis. RNAcentral describes it as "partial 16S ribosomal RNA". It matches the Rfam family "Bacterial large subunit ribosomal RNA", at positions 2207 to 2597 of the family's 2925-position model. The record is from RNAcentral. Lineage: Eukaryota; Metazoa; Chordata; Amphibia; Anura; Mantellidae.
UUAUAUCCCUAACCCCUAUACCCAUUUAACCUCUUAGGCCUAUAUACUUGGUUUUAGGUUGGGGCGACCACGGAGUAAAACCAAACCUCCAUGAUGUACGGAACAACCUCCUUAUCUAAGAGCCACAGCUCUAAGAAUUAGCACACUAUCAUAAAAUGACCCAUUAUUGAUCAACGAACCAAGUUACCCUGGGGAUAACAGCGCAAUCCAUUUUAAGAGCCCCUAUCGACAAAUGGGUUUACGACCUCGAUGUUGGAUCAGGAUAUCCCAGUGGUGCAGCAACUACUAAAGGUUCGUUUGUUCAACGAUCAAAAUCCU